AGUUGGUGGCUCAGUGGUAGAGUGCGUGCCUUGCAUGUAUGAUAUCAUGGGUUCAAUCCCCAGCUUCUC
Dallia pectoralis (Alaska blackfish) is the source of this 69-nucleotide non-coding RNA. The record is from the annotation of a GenBank genome assembly. NCBI's taxonomy places the organism in Eukaryota, Metazoa, Chordata, Actinopteri, Esociformes, Umbridae.